This 484-nucleotide ribosomal RNA is filed under the name uncultured bacterium. RNAcentral describes it as "partial 16S ribosomal RNA". It matches the Rfam family "Bacterial small subunit ribosomal RNA", at positions 30 to 507 of the family's 1533-position model. The record is from RNAcentral.
AUUGAACGCUGGCGGCAGGCCUAACACAUGCAAGUCGAGCGGAUGAAGGGAGCUUGCUCCUGGAUUCAGCGGCGGACGGGUGAGUAAUGCCUAGGAAUCUGCCCGGUAGUGGGGGAUAACGUCCGGAAACGGGCGCUAAUACCGCAUACGUCCUGAGGGAGAAAGUGGGGGAUCUUCGGACCUCACGCUAUCAGAUGAGCCUAGGUCGGAUUAGCUAGUUGGUGGGGUAAAGGCCUACCAAGGCGACGAUCUGUAACUGGUCUGAGAGGAUGAUCAGUCACACUGGAACUGAGACACGGUCCAGACUCCUACGGGAGGCAGCAGUGGGGAAUAUUGGACAAUGGGCGAAAGCCUGAUCCAGCCAUGCCGCGUGUGUGAAGAAGGUCUUCGGAUUGUAAAGCACUUUAAGUUGGGAGGAAGGGCAGUAAGUUAAUACCUUGCUGUUUUGACGUUACCAACAGAAUAAGCACCGGCUAACUUCGUG